This 454-nucleotide long non-coding RNA is filed under the name Lathyrus oleraceus (garden pea). RNAcentral describes it as "Pisum sativum (pea) long non-coding RNA (PSAT_LNC028460)". Lineage: Eukaryota; Viridiplantae; Streptophyta; Magnoliopsida; Fabales; Fabaceae. The record is from RNAcentral.
GGUAACAAAGAAAUGUCAUAUCUAAAGGUAAUUUAAACAAAAAUAUUACCUAAUCAUAUGAGAGUGAUCACUUCCCAAAUUCUCAAGCAUUCACAACUUCAUUGACCUUUUUUCUCUUUUUCUAAUUGUUACACCAUUGCACAUAAUUUAUUUGCUAUUUUUUUUUCUUUUUCAAUACUUUUUCUUUUUCUUUUCUUUUUCACUAUUCUCUUUAUUUUUCCAAUUUUUUAUUUUUCUUUCUCGACCUCUUAGCAACCAACAUUUUCUCCCCAACUUAAAUGCAACCAAUUAUUGUGAUGUGAAUGCUCCCAAACUUUCUACGGCAAGAGUAAAAAUUCAAAUCACAAUUUAUGGUUGAGGGUUCAAGAAAAAAGUUUAAAAUCCAAUUUAAAAUCAACAAUGAACUAAUUAGUUAUAUACAAGUUUCAAAAGUUAACAUCAAAAUGGAUCCUGG